Molecule: ribosomal RNA, 212 nt
Filed under: uncultured bacterium
Lineage: Bacteria
Description: partial 16S ribosomal RNA
Rfam family: Bacterial small subunit ribosomal RNA
Source: RNAcentral
AGUUCGGAUUGUAGUCUGCAACCCGACUACAUGAAGCUGGAAUCGCUAGUAAUCGCGGAUCAGAAUGCCGCGGUGAAUACGUUCCCGGGGUCUUGUACACACCGCCCGUCACACCAUGGGAGUCGGAAAUGCCCGAAGUCUGUGACCCAACCGCGAGGAGGGAGCAGCCGAAGGCAGGUCGGAUGACUGGGGUGAAGUCGUAACAAGGUACC